UCACCCUGGUUAGAGUGAAAGCAUCAGGCCAUCAUGCCCGCUGACAAGAGCUACGCGCUGAAGCAGGUGCAGACCUUCGGCAAGAAGAAGACGGCAAUCGCCGUGGCCACGGUCACCAAGGCUGCCCAGUGCAACAUCAAGGUGAACGGUGUGCCGCUGCAGCAGAUCCUGCCCGAUACGCUGCGCGCGAAGAUCAUGGAGGCCAUCACCGUGGUGGGACCCAAGUACUACUCGCGGCUGCGCAUCGAUGUGGCGGUGCACGGUGGCGGUCAGGUGUCGCAGGCGUACGCCGCGCGCCAGGCGAUCGCGAAGGGCCUUAUUGCGUUCUUUCAGAAGUACCACAACGAGGUGGAGAAGGCCGCGCUGAAGGACAAGUUCCUGGCGUACGACAAGUUCCUGCUCAUCGCCGAUCCCCGCCGCUGCGAGCCGAAGAAGUGGGGUCGCCACUCUGCCCGCACGCGCUUCACCAAGUCCUACCGGUAAGCUCAUGCGAGUCUGGGGGUCGCAUGCGCGUGCGCAUGUGCAUGUGCCUGGCUGCUUGCUCGUGUGCGGCUGAUCUGUCGAUGCUGCACGGACAGGGCACAACGCAUUGCGACUGGCGCACACACAUGCACCUCGCACGCUGCUUAGGAUGAGGGGAAAUCGUACAUGGUAGUCAUCGCGUCUGGGCUUUUGUAUGUGUCUGUGCGCGUGCGCGUGCAUGUGCCAUCGGAUCCGUGUCUUGUUAGCCGUGACCUGGAUGUACCGCUCCGCAUCCCGUCUCCGCACAGACAGUCAACUGGGUGCCACCCGCAGACCAUCAUUCAGUCGGUUGCGUACGGGUUCUUCGUUAUUUUACUUUCCCUGACAUGAUUUUGUUCCGUACAUAAGCACAUCACACAGCCUAUACACACACACACACACACACACACCUACACGCCUGAUGUACGUGUGUGUGUGUGUGUGUGUGACGGAGGCGUGCGCUGACCUAUGCGCCAGUGACUCCGUGCAGUAUGCGCCAUCCUUUUCGUGAUUCUUAUCGUUCUCCUCUUCGGCAUUUGUGCCGCGGUGGGCAGCGGAUAGGGUUAUGCGGACGCGGUGGUUGUGGUAGAGAGAGAGAGACGGGUGUGGAGAUAACACGCAGAGAGAGUGUGUGUGGGCUGGAGGUGUUGGAGUUUAGCUGCCGUGGUGCGCGGCCGUGUUCGUCCCUCACUGUUCAUGAUAUCGAAGACUCGUGGUGUUUUCCCGCCUCGUCCCUCUGCACCUCUCCGGCUAACUCGCUUCCCUCUAGUUACUGGCACGGGCUGCGUGUGGGGAGGCUGCGCACCCAGCCCCCACUUCACGUAACCCGGCUGCCUCUUCCCACGUUAUUCUGAUGCCUCUUUCCCUCACGCUGCGGACUGCUGACCCGCCUGUAGCACUUCUUCUUUCGCCUCUCCUCCCGCCUCCUCCAUCGAUUCACGCGACCAACGCGAUCGUCUCUUUGCCUUUCUCUGCAUCGCUUGCUGGGCGCGCUCUUAAUCACACACUAACGCGCCAAUAUGCACAUGCAUAUCCUUUCUUGCAUCUCCAACUCAG
RNAcentral lists this unclassified non-coding RNA (1557 nucleotides) under Leishmania donovani. RNAcentral describes it as "gene:LdHU3.26.1110(CDS-product:40S_ribosomal_prot ein_S16_putative)". The record is from RNAcentral. Lineage: Eukaryota; Euglenozoa; Kinetoplastea; Trypanosomatida; Trypanosomatidae.